GGACGAACGCUGGCGGCACGCUUAACACAUGCAAGUCGAACGGAGAAUUUUGGUUACUGAGAAUUCUAGUGGCGGACGGGUGAGUAACACGUGAGCAACCUGCCUCUGAGAGAGGGAUAGCUUCUGGAAACGGAUGGUAAUACCUCAUAAUAUAAUUGAACCGCAUGAUUUGAUUAUCAAAGAUUUAUCACUCAGAGAUGGGCUCGCGUCUGAUUAGAUAGUUGGUGAGGUAACGGCUCACCCAAGUCGACGAUCAGUAGCCGGACUGAGAGGUUGAACGGCCACAUUGGGACUGAGACACGGCCCAGACUCCUACGGGAGGCAGCAGUGGGGAAUAUUGCACAAUGGGGGAAACCCUGAUGCAGCGAUGCCGCGUGGAGGAAGAAGGUUUUCGGAUUGUAAACUCCUGUCUUAAAGGACGAUAAUGACGGUACUUUAGGAGGAAGCUCCGGCUAACUACGUGCCAGCCGCGGC
RNAcentral lists this ribosomal RNA (474 nucleotides) under uncultured bacterium. RNAcentral's name for it is "bacterial SSU rRNA". It matches the Rfam family "Bacterial small subunit ribosomal RNA", at positions 27 to 518 of the family's 1533-position model. The record is from RNAcentral.